RNAcentral lists this long non-coding RNA (5392 nucleotides) under Brassica napus (rape). RNAcentral's name for it is "long non-coding RNA (BNAP_LNC025365)". Lineage: Eukaryota; Viridiplantae; Streptophyta; Magnoliopsida; Brassicales; Brassicaceae. The record is from RNAcentral.
UCUCUCUCUUCUCUCUCUUUUCUCCCAAAGUUUCUGAAGGUGUUCUUCAUGCUUUGCUCCGGCGUUGGUCUCUCCGACGUCGGAGGCUGUCUUUUCUCUUAGAUCUAGUUUUAUCAUUGCUUCCUGAUUCUAACAAGAUCCAUUUUCGAUAUGUUCUGGGAUUCUGGGUGUUUCAACGCCGGUAAGUGUCAGGUUCUGCUCCGUGGAGAACUAGCUUCACUGGUGGGUUGAGCUUUCUGGUGUUCCGACGAGUUGGUGUGAGCUUGGAAGAGCAAGGGAGUCGGCUUUUGGGUAGUCUCACCGACAGAUCUGGUUUUCUCCUUCAGACUUUUGCGGUGCUCUCCAUGUUUAGGUGAUGCGCGAGGUUCAUGACGGACUCGUCCAGUGUUCUUGUCAUCGUUUCUUAUUCAAAGCUGGGUCUUUGUGGUGGAGUGGACGAGCGGGAAUUGGGGGUCUUGUCCUUGCAGCGGUUGUUUCUGUCCCGUCUUUUGCAUCCCCAGCUAUGGUAAUUAGCGUUUUGAUUGGGCUCUUGUACUGUUAGGUGUGUGAGUCUUAAUCGUUAUAGGCCAUGGGUGUAAGCGUCUUGUUGGUUGUGACUUAGCAGUAUUUGUUCUUGGGGUUAUGUGUCAUUUGGUUGCUUGUCGUUUGGUUUCUUUCCCGUGAGUGUUGGAGAGGUUCUUGGCAAGGCUUCAUCUUCUUGGUAGUUGGGCGAGCUUCUUUCUUUGAUUGUAGAGCGUUUAUGUAUCCAAGGCGUGUGGACCGAGCAGCGGUUCCCCUUGUUGAGGUUUGAAGUCCCCGGGUUUUGGUCUUAUCGUUUGGCGGGCGAGGCAGCAGCGAUAAGUGUGGUUUGGGUGCAGAAGUGGAGGGUACCGGGUGACGGGCUAUAGGCAGCAACGGUACUUCCCGACCAUUGACAUUUACUCUGUUUUAAAAACUGCUAAGUGACCUGAUGUGGCUUUUGCGUGGAUGUUAACGUGCUUUUGGUGCUAGUGUUGGUUUAGUUUUUAUGGUUUGUGUUUGUUUUUAAGUCACCCGAGUGUGGGUUUUAGUCGUCCCAGUGUGGGUUCUAGCUGCCGCUUCUUAUGGGCUUUUGGUUCUGGGGCUAUUUCGUUUUGCCGCCAGCUUGUGUAUGAAUACCGGUAAUUCGAUUAUGAAUGAAUUUCAAUUUGGGAAAAAAAAAAAGUUUACGUUCGUUUUGAUUUACUGUUGGUCUUGAUUCAGUUUUCGGAUAAUAUACACUCGCCUAUCUAAGAGGUUGGUUUUAGGGAACAUCUCAAAUUCUCAAUCGAGAGGUUGACAUUGAUACGUUUUAGGCAUCGAAUCGUUAAACAGGGAAAUCAGAGAAAUUAGAUGAUGAACUGAUGUUGAUUACUGGAAUUGAUAAAAAGAUAACAAGUUUAGAGAGGUUUUCUCAUGAGUCUCCCAACUUUGAUCAACGACUUCAUAAUCACUCCUUACGAUCCUCAUUCCUCACACACACUCGAGCCAUCAAGCAUGUGCACAACCUCCACGUCACGUACACACUCUAUGUGUGAUCCAACAUAGCAUGUGCUCUUGCCUCUGACUCAGCAAACAUCCGUUAUUCAUUAUUCUUUCAAGCCUUGUGUCUUCUAGAAAGAGCCUUUGUAUCAGACAUCUCUAAUUCUACCCAUCCAUUUUAAUUUUAGCUCUCUUUAUUUAAGUAACAAAAUAUUCCAGGACCUGGUUGAAGAUUUUUUUGUUUCACAUUUUAAGUAACAAUAACAGAUGAACACUAACAAAAGAAAGUGCAACAGUGGCAAAGAGUGCCUCUUUCAGAUCUUGUCGUGAAGAUUGACGACCAAGUCAUGAGCAUCGUCAAGAAGUUUCCAAACAUCAAGACGACCAGCCAUGCUAUUACAUUCCUUCAUGAUCUCAUCCAUCCCACUGUACUUCUCUAUGAUCGUCUUUCUCCUCUGCAACACGCUUGCCGCUAUCGCAUAUAGCAACAGAUCUUCUGUCGGUGGUGCCCGUAACCUUAUUCUCCCCCAUGUCGCCUUUGCAAUCCCGGUUCUUAUGGCUGCUUGAUCCGCCCACAUUACUUCCCACAGGCAAAGCGUCUGCUCAAAUGUUAGUUCUCGUCUGAACAUCACCACCACCAUACGGUAUACAAAGAAGCAGUCUUCCGCUUCUAGGUUCUCCAAGUGCCUGUACAAGCGGAUGUCUUUGAACUUUAUGAUUUUCGAUACCAUUGAGAGUUGCCUCCUGAUUCCAACCUCGUCUAGCCUGAAAUUAUGUCUUGCUUUACUCAUGAACCCGACAAAGCACCAGAACGCAAACGCGUCGUCUUCGAUUACUGCGAGUAUAGGAGAUAGUAAGUCGCUCAUUCCUUGACAGUAACCUAUUUCAGGGUCGUAGACCGCGUAGGCUUCAAGGAUGGCGACCAGGCGAGCUGCAUGUAAGAUCCUGCAGGGCUCCAAGUCCUCGUAGUCAGUAAGACCAACCUGUGUGGCUAUUCCCCGGGCUUUUGUGUCAGACACAGCAGCUUGAGAUGGUGAGUAGGGCACCCAUUCAUUAUUGGCUCUCACUGCAUCCAGGCGGAUUAUUCUCUGCCAAAUUGUGGUGAAUUCCUCUUCUGCCUGAGAUUUUGGCUUUGAUGAUGGAGACGGAGUGUCUUUUUCUUGGUUGACUUUACCGUGUCUUUCGGCUUCUUCUUCUUUGGCUAGACGAGGCAAAGUCUCAGUUUCUUCAGAGUUGGGUGCCUCUGAGUUAACGGCUGUAUCAUGUCUUUCUCUUUCUUCGUUCGCUAGAAGAGGUGAAGUCUCGGUUUCUUCAGAGUUUGUUGAGUCUGAGUCAUUAGCAUCAUCUUCGGAGGUGACGCCACUCUUUUCACAGUCCCCAUCCUGACGGAUCGAUUCGGAAUUCAACUUCUCUGAUUCUUCUACUUGGAUGGAUCUCGUGGAAAUACUGACUUGUUCAAUAUCAUGGGAAUCAAGAACCUGGCUGUCUUCGGUGUUGCUGCUCUGAGAUGUCUGCUUUGAGUCACUGCCAUUUUCAUUGCGCCUAUGAAUCUCGCGACACUGUCUCCGCAGGUUUUCAUAUUCCUUCCUGCAAGAUUUACGUAUGUCUAAGCGACAGGAGUUCUCAAACGACUACUUAUUGGUAAAUUCAUGGAAACAUUGAAAAAGUCAAUAACCAGCUUGCCACCUAACAGGAAACAGAGAAAAAUGGGAAACUUAAAUAUUGGCAGAAGCUGAGAAGCCAUGAAACUCAAUUUGUACAAGUGAACGUACUGUUUCUGCUGUCGGAUAGAAUCUCUUUCUUCUUCGGUGCUGUUUAAGUCAUACCUGUGAGACGUUAAGUAGAAUAAGGUUAUAGUAUGUCGGGAUGAUAAAGAGUACUAACUUACACAGGGUUCAUUAUCAAAGUAUCUUAACGUAUAGUGAGGACCGGGCUAGAAUUAGUCUUAUAAAUCCUCAGGAAGAAAACAUAAAAGGCGACUCUGAGACUCUCCCAUUUGAAACUCCUAGUUAAUGAGUGGUUUACAGUUUAUUCUAAGUUUCUAACUUAUAACAUUAACUACUAACCCCAUCGAAAAAUCUACACUUCAACAUUUAGAACAUACAUACGAACCUAAGGCUGAACAAACAAAAAACUCCAUGGUAGCCGCAGAGUAUAUAAGUGAUCCAAAUCAUACUUCAGCAUUAAGAACAUAAAGAAGGGAAAAGGAAAAAAGAUGCAGAUUCUUACACUCCAAGGAGGAAUAGCCAAACUUCUGGUCUGAUGCUCGGAUCCACACCCUGAAACAACGACAUGAAUUAAUAUACAAAGUCACAAUAGGACAAUUUGGGUUAAAGUCUGAGUAUCAGAAGUUUAUCAAAUGGAGCAAUUAGCAACAUACCCCACUGCGAACUUUCUUCAGAAAUUGGACACCUCCAUCACCGAGUCGGCCUUCCUCUGUGAAAAAGGCGUUCCACUGUGUAGGCUGAAGAGCAUGCUUUCUUCUCCUCAGUGACCAAGGCGAUCCAAUGCUUCCUCUGAAGAAAUGGAUUAGCAGAAAAUAAGCAACUUCAUUUAAGGAACAAAAUUACACAAAACAAAAUGUGGCGAUCAAUAGCUUGCUUCGAAUCGUAAAUGUUAUGUUCAUUUAUGCCAAUGACAGAAGACCUAAGACAUUGGUUACAUUAUUCAGUUAUUAUCUUUCAAAGAAUCUAGACUUCGGAUCAAUGGGCAUCAAAGGACUACUAUUAUUACUAAGCUAAGCAUGAUAAAGUAGUGAACAAGCUUUUACUUGAGAUCUUUAGUUUUUCAUUUCGCAUUCAUAUAUACACCUACCUACGGGAGUAGACGACGGUGACAGCCACCGCCACGACGGUGACCGCCACGGCUAAACCAACAUUGGAAGGAGCAACAGCUGUCGACCAGAAUUCGCCUGCGUAUCCGUUCCUGGCGGCGCCACCGCUGCUGCCAUCGGCAAAGACGACCCAUCUCCCGCCGAGGAACAGCGUCAAGAAGACCACGGCGACGAAAGUUACCGUCGAUGCGACGGAGCGAGUGGCCGCCGCCACUUUGUCGGUCGUCGUCAAUCGUAGUGGUCCAAACAUCACCCCCACCCCCCAAGCUAGGGAUUAGCUUCCUCCAAGAAGAGAUGAACAUGGUUAUUAUAAAGAAUCAACAUUGUUGGAUAAAGGGGUUAUCAGAAGAUAAUCAUUGAAACUGAUUGCAAAAAAAAAAGCCAUUGAUGAGCUCAAGCAUGCACAACUACACUUUGGAGCUUAUAACUAGAUCAGAGAGAUAUGAUGGUGGAUGCAAAAGUUUGAGGAAAUCUUGUUUUCUUGGAUAGGAAGGAAAGCAAAUCGAGUUGCAAAUAUAUUGGCCAAGGCUACAAUUCCAAAUGAUAUACUGUUUGCGUGUUCAUUAUUUUGUGCAUGCUAUAAUUGAUCAUCCUCUUCACGAGAAUUAUGUAAACUCACAAUAAGCUCAAUAAAAAUCAGUUGUUAAAAAAAAAAAAAUUUGUAAGUUUACGUUCGUUUCAUUAUCUGGAGAGUAUAUCUAUUCCGUUCUCUCUCUUCUCUCUCUUUUCUCCCAAAGUUUCUGAAGGUGUUCUUCAUGCUUUGCUCCGGCGUUGGUCUCUCCGACGUCGGAGGCUGUCUUUUCUCUUAGAUCUAGUUUUAUCAUUGCUUCCUGAUUCUAACAAGAUCCAUUUUCGAUAUGUUCUGGGAUUCUGGGUGUUUCAACGCCGGUAAGUGUCGGGUUCUGCUCCGUGGAGAACUAGCUUCACCGGUGGGUUGAGCUUUCUGGUGUUCCGACGAGUUGGUGUGAGCUUGGUAGAGCAAGGGAGUCGGCUUUUGGGUAGUCUCACCGACAGAUCUGGUUUUCUCCUUCAGACUUUUGCGGUGCUCUCCAUGUUUAGGUGAUGCGCGAGGUUCAUGAC